RNAcentral lists this ribosomal RNA (375 nucleotides) under uncultured organism. RNAcentral's name for it is "partial 16S ribosomal RNA". It matches the Rfam family "Bacterial small subunit ribosomal RNA", at positions 527 to 897 of the family's 1533-position model. The record is from RNAcentral.
GUAGGUGGCAAGCGUUGUCCGGAAUUAUUGGGGCGUAAAGCGCGCGCAGGCAGUUCUUUAAGUCUGAUGUGAAAGCCCACGGGCUCAACCGUGGAGGGUCAUUGGAAACUGGAGAACUUGAGUACAGAAGAGGAAAGCGGAAUUCCACGUGUAGCGGUGAAAUGCGUAGAGAUGUGGAGGAACACCAGUGGCGAAGGCGGCUUUCUGGUCUGUAACUGACGCUGAGGCGCGAAAGCGUGGGGAGCAAACAGGAUUAGAUACCCUGGUAGUCCACGCCGUAAACGAUGAGUGCUAAGUGUUAGGGGGUUUCCGCCCCUUAGUGCUGCAGCUAACGCAUUAAGCACUCCGCCUGGGGAGUACGGCCGCAAAGGCUGA